CCUACGGGUGUCAGCAGUGGGGAAUAUUGGACAAUGGGGGGAACCCUGAUCCAGCGACGCCGCGUGAGUGAAGAAGUAUUUCGGUAUGUAAAGCUCUAUCAGCAGGGAAGAAAAUGACGGUACCUGACUAAGAAGCCCCGGCUAACUACGUGCCAGCAGCCGCGGUAAUACGUAGGGGGCAAGCGUUAUCCGGAUUUACUGGGUGUAAAGGGAGCGUAGACGGCGAUGCAAGCCAGAUGUGAAAGCCCGGGGCUCAACCCCGGGACUGCAUUUGGAACUGUAUAGCUGGAGUGUCGGAGAGGCAGGCGGAAUUCCUAGUGUAGCGGUGAAAUGCGUAGAUAUUAGGAGGAACACCAGUGGCGAAGGCGGCCUGCUGGACGAUGACUGACGUUGAGGCUCGAAGGCGUGGGGAGCAAACAGGAUUAGAUACCCCUGUAGUC
Molecule: ribosomal RNA, 440 nt
Filed under: uncultured bacterium
Lineage: Bacteria
Description: partial 16S ribosomal RNA
Rfam family: Bacterial small subunit ribosomal RNA
Source: RNAcentral